CGCCCCGCCCGUAGUCCCGGAACACGUGGGUCAUCUGAAAAGCACAGGGCAGGGGGUCGGGGGUCAGGGGUCGGGAGGUCAGGGGCAGAUAACAGACCUAUUACUGUGCUUUCUGUCCCGCUCCAGAGAAAGGGCAGAUUUGUCAUUAAAAUCAAAUGUGUUUUUUAAUUACCAAUUGGCUGUGUUUCCCCUACUUUAUUUUAAACUUAA
Molecule: long non-coding RNA, 210 nt
Organism: Anguilla rostrata (American eel)
Lineage: Eukaryota; Metazoa; Chordata; Actinopteri; Anguilliformes; Anguillidae
Exons: 2
Source: RefSeq, a predicted model, not a curated record